GUUACACCGGCAAUACAAGUAGUGCAUGAGCCACGAGGAGGCUGUAUAGUCCGCACCACUGCACGUGACCGAUGAGGACUGACGGAUACUCUGUGAUAGGUUUUCGUUUGAUUCUUUUCAGAAGAGGAGCAAAAUAAAUUCUGACAACAGAGGAAAGUUAGAAGUGAACCACGUAGCUGGUUCAAAGUAAUUUGUACGACUUCGUCAUGACAUGCGAGAUUCUGUCACUGGCCAGGAGCCCGGACUAGUAGACUUCUACAAAGGGACUCACUGUCGGCAGGCGAUGGGAUCUUGGGUACAUCCUAGAGCCAGCGAGAUUUGGGUAAAGAUCCUUACAUUGUAAAAUUUAUUUGCAUUAAAUUAUAAUAAUGUCAUUUAUUAUGAAAAUUUAUAUGUUUUCAUUACAUGAGGAGAUGGACACCUUACGGAGUCAGCCCACUCCCGAUGAUACUCAGCGGAGUGAGCCAGAGAUCCUGAGUCAGGUGCUUGGCACCCGUUCUGGAUAUGUGCGUGGAUUUGGCCAUGGUGCCAAGCUCAUGGCACCCGCUAGAGCUGCCUCCAGCCGAUCCAUCGUCGUUGGCGUCAGUGCCGUACGCCGAGCUAAUACCACAAAGAGAGAGGUUCAGCAGCUACGGGUCGUUGUCGAUGACAUCAAAGAUCAGCUAAACAGACAGAGGGAGGAGCAGGAGAGGAAGAUGAUGGAUCAGCUGGCGAGGCAGAGGGAGGAGCAGGAGAGGAGGAUAGAGGAGGAGCUGGCGAGGCAGAGGGAGGAGCAGGAGAGGAGGAUAGAGGAGGAACUGGCGAGGCAGAGGGA
This is a long non-coding RNA of Magnolia sinica, 814 nucleotides long. RefSeq lists it as uncharacterized. The transcript has 3 exons. Lineage: Eukaryota; Viridiplantae; Streptophyta; Magnoliopsida; Magnoliales; Magnoliaceae. The record is from RefSeq and is a predicted model, not a curated record.